UUGGAGGGCAAGUCUGGUGCCAGCAGCCGCGGUAAUUCCAGCUCCAAUAGCGUAUAUUAAAGUUGUUGCAGUUAAAAAGCUCGUAGUUGAAUUUCGGGAUCAGAGUGUCGGUCGUGCCUUGGUACGCACUGGUAUUAUUGGUUCCUACCUUCUGAAGAACCGCGAUGUCAUUAAUUUGGUGUCGUGGGGAAUCAGGACUGUUACUUUGAAAAAAUUAGAGUGUUUAAAGCAGGCUUACGCUUGAAUACAUUAGCAUGGAAUAAUGAAAUAGGACGUUUGAUUCUAUUUUGUUGGUUUCUAGGAUUGACGUAAUGAUUAAUAGGGAUAGUUGGGGGCAUUAGUAUUCAAUUGUCAGAGGUGAAAUUCUUGGAUUUAUUGAAGACUAACUACUGCGAAAGCAUUUGCCAAGGAUGUUUUCAUUAAUCAAGAACGAAAGUUAGGGGAUCGAAGACGAUCAGAUACCGUCGUAGUCUUAACCAUAAACUAUGCCGACUAGGGAUCGGAUGAUGUUAAUUUUUUAAUGACUCAUUCGGCGCCUUACGGGAAAC
This 548-nucleotide ribosomal RNA is filed under the name uncultured Glomeromycotina. RNAcentral describes it as "SSU rRNA". It matches the Rfam family "Eukaryotic small subunit ribosomal RNA", at positions 548 to 1098 of the family's 1831-position model. The record is from RNAcentral. Lineage: Eukaryota; Fungi; Glomeromycota.